This 73-nucleotide transfer RNA is filed under the name Pseudobacter sp. RNAcentral describes it as "tRNA-Gly". It matches the Rfam family "tRNA". From Rfam's summary of the family: Transfer RNA (tRNA) molecules are approximately 80 nucleotides in length. Their secondary structure includes four short double-helical elements and three loops (D, anti-codon, and T loops). Lineage: Bacteria; Pseudomonadati; Bacteroidota; Chitinophagia; Chitinophagales; Chitinophagaceae. The record is from RNAcentral.
GCGGAAGUAGCUCAUCUGGUAGAGCGAUAGCUUCCCAAGCUAUAGGUGGCCGGUUCGAGCCCGGUCUUCCGCU